GAUGAAGAACGCAGCGGAAUGCGAUAAGUAAUGCGAAUUGCAGAAUUCCAGUGAGUCAUCGAAUCUUUGAACGCACAUUGCGCCCUUUGGUAUUCCGAAGGGCAUGCCUGUUCGAGCGUCAUUAUCACCCCUCAAGCCCCCGGCUUGGUGUUGGACGGCUUGGUGGAGACCCUUUUGUGGCCCACCCCUCCCAAAGACAAUGACGGCGGCCUCGUUGGACCCCCGGUACACUGAGUUCUUCACGGGACACGUAUCGGACACACGGGUUUACGGGUCACGGUCUGCCUCCCCUCAGGGAGAACUUUUCUAAGGUUGACCUCGGAUCAGGUAGGGAUACCCGCUGAACUUAAGCAUAUCAAUAAGCGGAGGA
This 370-nucleotide unclassified non-coding RNA is filed under the name soil metagenome. RNAcentral describes it as "partial contains 5.8S ribosomal RNA, internal transcribed spacer 2, and large subunit ribosomal RNA". The stretch from base 1 to 121 matches the Rfam family "5.8S ribosomal RNA", at positions 35 to 154 of the family's 154-position model. The record is from RNAcentral.